GCUUUAUAAAUGUGAUGGUUUUAGGUAUAAUUAACACAACUCAAUUAUAAUCUUAAAAGCAUAUGUGUGUGCGCGUGUGGCUGUGUGCACAUAUCUGACUAAAGAUUAUGGCCAAUUGCCUCCACAAAUCUUUAUAUUAGCUCUAUGAUUACUAAAUAAUUAUUUAUAGAAGCUACUUAUGGACCUUGUCUUGCCGUUAUU
RNAcentral lists this unclassified non-coding RNA (201 nucleotides) under Hevea brasiliensis (rubber tree). Lineage: Eukaryota; Viridiplantae; Streptophyta; Magnoliopsida; Malpighiales; Euphorbiaceae. The record is from RNAcentral.